UCUCUUCUUCCUCGUUCUCCUCCUCCGCUGUACCGUCGUCUUCAUCUUCCUCAUUCUCCUCCUCCGCUGUACCGUCGUCUUCAUCUUCCUCAUUCUCCUCCUCCUCUGCUCCGACACCGUCUACGCACUCUAUUCUCUACUAUGUCCUCGAUGAACUCGCCGCAGGAGGAGGCCUCUGUCAAAACAGUGAGAAUGGUGAUAAGGGGGAGAGUGCAAGGUGCGUCGGAUCUAUCGGAAUUGGACGAUUGAUAAUGCGAAGGAGUUAGGGUUGAAAGGUUGGGUUCGGAACCGCCGGGAUGGAUCUGUGGAGGCGUUGUUUUCGGGAGAUGGAGCAGCGGUGUAGGAGAGGUCUUCCUGAUGCUAUGGUGACUGGAAUUCAGGCAUUUCAUUUCCGAGCACGGAUGAUCCUGGGAAUGAAUUCGACUGUGUGAAUGAAUGAAUCAGCGAUUCUGAUCAGGAACGCAACUCCCAAAAGUAGCUGUCGGCGCAGGAAGGAUGUUGCCAAGGCCUGCAGUGCCAGCCAUCGAAGACUUCUCUAACGAAUUCUUCUACUUCAGGCAGAGGGCAAUCCAGUAGCGUUGUUCAGGGUUUAGGGAAACCAACAGGAUUACGAAUGCCUUCUCCCAAAAUCGGGUUCUUUGAUGGGGUGAAAUCAUCCCCUCGCACUCCCAAUGGUUUGCGCACUGUGUCACCCAAAAAUGGAGCUGCUGCAAGCAGCAGUCCAGUUCGAUAAAAAGGUAUUGCUGGAAUAAGCUUCAGCAUAUCGGCGGAUUUAAAGAAAAAAACUUUCAGCAUAUCGGUGGAUUCAUAUUUCAAGGUAUGUU
Molecule: long non-coding RNA, 824 nt
Organism: Andrographis paniculata
Lineage: Eukaryota; Viridiplantae; Streptophyta; Magnoliopsida; Lamiales; Acanthaceae
Exons: 5
Source: RefSeq, a predicted model, not a curated record